AGCUCCUUGGAGGUGGGGUGCUAGAAGGAACGGCACCCCUGCCCAGAACCUUCUCUUAGCUUUCGCAGGCUGGAUCCAGCUUCAGGGCAGAGCACAGCUGUGGAGGCGUCACCAGUCUGCCCUGGUGUCAAAGGGCUCCACGUCACCAAGCAGAGCCAAGGAACUUCCGAGCAGCACAGGCAGGUGAGGAGGCAGCAGGAGGAACUCAGGAUAGACCUCAGAGUGAACUUCCAGGCAAGGGUCCCUGGAACCAGAGUCUGAGACCUGGGGUGUCGGCAGCAGAAUCUACAGCGACCUCCCCACCUACUGUCUCUUCUCAGAUGAGGCUGAGCAGCAAAAGCCACACGAGCUGCACACCAGACCGUGGCACUCCCAAGUAGCAGAGUCAGGAUUUGAACCCAGGGCACUGACGGGGCACUGACAGAGCCCAUCCCACCAGGUUGCUGAGGCAGGCCCGGGGCACCCACCGUGUGCAGGGGUCUGCGAAAGGAGGGAGCUCGGCAGGGAAAGAGGAAGGCGGCCUGCGGGCUGGCUUCUGCGCUGUCCUCGUGGGCCUGGAGCAGCAGAAUGCAG
Long non-coding RNA from Bos taurus (domestic cattle), 573 nucleotides. Lineage: Eukaryota; Metazoa; Chordata; Mammalia; Artiodactyla; Bovidae. The record is from Ensembl.